Molecule: long non-coding RNA, 1017 nt
Filed under: Anas platyrhynchos platyrhynchos (common mallard)
Lineage: Eukaryota; Metazoa; Chordata; Aves; Anseriformes; Anatidae
Description: lncRNA (ENSAPLG00000017702.1)
Source: RNAcentral
CACCUGCUGAGGGUUACCGCAGCCCACCUACCUCCACACCAAUCCACGUCCAACAUUUGGAUAUUAGGAACUGCCACAGCUGUCAUCAGUACAGCUGGAUAUUAUGGCUCAUGUGAUAGGCCUUAAGCCACUCUCUAGAAGAGGCGAAGAAAAUCUAAGAUUAAAAAUGAAAAAUACUGUGUGUUUCUUGCAGGAUUCUUGCCCAGCUUGUGUAUUAAGACCUGAGGCCUAAUCCAAUCUGCUAUGUUCACUCCCUUCAGGCAACGGAGAGACAUGAACAGGAACAGGCAGCUCCAGCCACAUACAGUUAAGUCAUAAAUAUACAAAUUAUUACACAACAUAAUUUGCAUUAAAUAUUACAUAUUACGAGGAGAAGCACUAAGUCAGUAACUACGAAAACAAGCCAGGAUCUGGUCUAUCCUGCACAUCUGAUCCCCAUCACACAUGGGGAUCAUGCCUCAGAUACUCCUUCCCAGCUGCCGUGACCUGGUGAGAAGGGAUGUGCACGCCCGAAGUUUGCUUUCUCAGAGAAACAUCCCCGUGAUUGACUCAACCAGUCACUUGAUUUCACAGACACUUCAUGGCGAUGUAGCUCCAGGAGAAUUUGUGAGACUAUAAAGAGGGAAUUAAAGAACAAGCAGUCAAAGGAGCAAUUUUACUCUAUCCUAAGCACAGCACCACACUUGCACGCAAGGAGAAGUAAGCCCAAUAACUGGAAGAAUCCCAUUCAGCACGCCGCGUGCUCAUCUGUGUGGAUUUGACCAUCAAAGAGACAGGCUUGAACAUAAAGUUAUAUUCUGCUCUACUUGUGUUUAUACUUACCUGACCUUUACAUAUGCAUAGUCCCAGGGCCUGCUCAUGUACACUGAGAACAUCUUGUAAAUAUGAAGAGGUUCAUUGCCUUAAAAAUCAAUUUAUUUAGUUACACUCCUAAUCUUCCUUAUUGCUUUGUGUAACCAAAUGCACUGUUCUCCACAAAGGUGACAGAAUAGUAAUAAUUUUAAAGAGGUAAAAAAU